Alnus glutinosa is the source of this 1055-nucleotide long non-coding RNA. RefSeq lists it as uncharacterized. The transcript has 3 exons. The record is from RefSeq and is a predicted model, not a curated record. Lineage: Eukaryota; Viridiplantae; Streptophyta; Magnoliopsida; Fagales; Betulaceae.
UCUCUAUCAUUUCUCGCGAAAACUCUGGAGUACAUAGUCAAAAUCCUUCCCCCUCAGAGUAACCCAUUUCUCACCCAAAAUUUCUCUCUACCGUGCGUCGGCCAUCUUCACCAUCGUCCACCGCCGACAACCACCUCCACCACCUUCCGUCAGCCCCCACCAAAAUUUCCCCAUCGCCAGCUCCACCUCAGCUGAAGACCAAAAAACAAUACGAAGAUAGAAAACCAAAACACAAAGAAGAAAACGUUUUAUACAGAGAGUCUCAUCUUCCCAGUUCCUAAAGUCCUAUGAAGUAUAAAACCCUUUUGUUGGCACACAGGGUCCGCGACAAAUUUCACCCCCGGUUGUGAUCACCGUCGAGAUAGUUGAAGAGCUUGGAGCGCAAAUUUGUGGCUUGUGGACUCUUCAAACGACAUCGUUUCGAUUUAAAGUCGUUUCAAUCAAUAAAACCUAGCACCAGGAAAAGACACUUUCAUUCUAAAUCCGCCGACUUCCACAGGCUCUUCAGUCCCACGCUGAUUAACGUGUCUUGAAGGUUAUCAUGGGUUCUCAUGAUCCCAAACCACUGGUUAAAGCGGCACUUCGCCUCGGGUCGGAAAAUUACUCUGUCAACACCAACAAGGGUACUCUUUCCGAGCAAUUGGUUUCAAUGAAAGAGGAAAGCAUGAGCAUAUUGAAGGACUUCAUUACCAAAAAUAAUAUUCCUAAUGAUGUCCCUGACGAAGUCAUCGAAAGCUCUUCAGAAGACGAUACUGAAGCCCCUGAGAAGACUCAUGUGAAAUCGAAGAAGACGAAAUUAACCUAAAGUAUUUCUCCUCCCCCCCCACCCCCAUAAACCCCAAAUUCCGUAUGGGAAGCUUUAUUAAUGUGCUAGAACUGUCUUGAGCAAAAUCCUGUAAUACCAAGUAUGUUAUAUGUCAUGCUAGAUGAAGUGCUUAUGUUCUUUCCCAUUUGAUUUCUCUAGUUCUUGAGACUGUAUGUUACAGUUGCUUUGGUCAAACAUAUUUCCUAUGUAAAUUGAAUCUUCUGAAGCCUGGGAAGGUUUGUUUUAGUGA